Musa acuminata subsp. malaccensis (wild Malaysian banana) is the source of this 3453-nucleotide non-coding RNA. NCBI's taxonomy places the organism in Eukaryota, Viridiplantae, Streptophyta, Magnoliopsida, Zingiberales, Musaceae. The record is from RefSeq and is a predicted model, not a curated record.
AAGAUUGCAGUCCUGCCUAUAGUUGGCAUGGGAGGAUUAGGAAAGACUACGCUUGCUCAACUGAUCUACCAAGACAAGCGGGUGGAGAGGCAUUUCCAAUUGCGUAUUUGGGUUUGUGUGGGCUCUGUUUUUGAUCUGGGAGAGAUUCUUAAAGCGAUCAUCAGUUCCGCCACUGGGAGACAGAGCGACCUGAAAUUUAUGGACAUGUUACAAUGCAGUGUUCGAGAUGUAUUGGCCGGGAAAAGAUAUCUGCUUGUGUUAGACGACGAAUGGAAUGAAGACUCAUCGAAGUGGGACGACUUAAAAGCGCUGUUAGCUUGCGGAGGAGACGGAAGCAGAGUUGUUGUGACCACGCGUAGUGAUGGAGUGUCGUCCAUGAUGGGCACGCUCACCACUCACAAGCUGGCAUUCCUAUCUGAAGAAGAUUCAUGGGAUUUGUUCAGGAGAAGAGCAUUUCCAAGCGGACAAGAUGAUGAUAAGCAGCAGCAUCAAAAUCUGGUGGAGAUUGGAAAAGCCAUUGUAACAAAGUGUGGGGGAUUGCCUCUCGCAGUAAAGGCCCUGGGCAGCAUGCUGAGCUACCAGAAUGAUGAAAGGGAGUGGUCUGCUAUAAAGGAAAGUAACAUCUGGGAUACCAAAGUGGGUGAAGGUGAUAUCCUACCUGCACUGCUUCUGAGUUAUAAUGACUUGCCUUCGCACCUGAAGCGAUGCUUCGCCUUCUGUGCCAUAUUCCCCAAAGAUUACGAGAUAGAAGUGGACAUGUUGAUUCGACUGUGGAUGGCUCAGGGGUUUAUUCCAUCGGAAGGAACAGCAGAACCGGGGAGGUUAAAGGCCACCGAAUUUUCAUGGAACUACACAAGAGAUGCUUCUUUCAAGACGUAGGCCGAGUUAAAGAACGUAGCUACCUGGACUUUUGGGGUAAUAUCAUGCAUGCUUAUUUUCGUUGGAGAGAUCAUGAGUUAGAAGUCAAAGGAUAUUGCAAUUUGAGAACAUGCAAGAUGCACGACCUCAUUCAUGACCUUGCACAACAUAUAUCAGGGGAAGAAGGUGUUGCGUUGCUAGAGCCAUGCACCGCCACAGCACCAAGGAAAGAUGUGCAUCACUUGUCCUUACCAGGCACCUCCUCGUCUUCCAAAAUCCAUGAGACGCUGGGGAAAUUUCCUGCCCUGCGGACACUACUGGUACGAGAUGCAUAUUAUGGAAAAGCUGUGGACAACAUUUCAAGACCGGCGAAAUUAAGAGUGUUAGGAUUCCAUAAUUUAAAUGCUACGAUGUUGCAAAAUCUAGCACGACAUCUCAAGCAUGUCAGAUUCCUGGACAUUUCUUACUCUACAAUACCAGAGUUACCUGAAGCUAUCACCACGCUGCUCAACUUGCAGACGUUGAAGCUUUCUGGAUGUCAACUACUACGUAAGUUGCCAAGUAAGAUGAAGAAUAUGAGUAAUCUCAGGCAUCUCUAUCUCGAUGAAUGUCCGGAGCUGAGGGACAUGCCCGAAGGGCUGGGGAGAUUAAGCUGCUUGCACACAUUGUCAAAAUACAUCGUGGGUGUUGGUGCUGGGAGAGGAAUAGGACAGCUAAAGGAGUUAAACCUUUCAGGCAAACUAGAGAUAUAUGGCCUGGGAAACGUGAGAAAUGCUGCAAAUGCAAGAGAAGCUAAUCUCCAUUCUAAACGAGACCUACACUCUUUGGCACUAUGUUGGGGAGUUGUCGAUUGGACUGAGGAAGAAUCACUUUCCGAGAAUGUUGAGACGAGAGAUGAGAAUAGCGAGGCGUUAUUGAAAGCACUGGCACCACCCGACGGCAUAAAGGUCUUAUCGAUCUGGGGCUACGGAGGAGUCAGGUUUCCGACAUGGACAUCAGAUGAGCAAUUGUUGAGUCGGUACCAGCUGCUGGUGGAGAUUCAUCUCGGUGGAUGCAGAAAUUGCCAGCAUCUCCCUUCGUUUUGGCAGCUGCCCUCGCUCGAGGUGCUAAGUUUAAAUCAUAUGGAUUCCCUGAAGCAUAUCAUCCGUGGUGAAGGUGGAGGUGAUUGCAGAGAACAAACAUUCCCGGCGUUGAAAAGGCUGGUUCUGGAGGGGAUGCCAAGCUUGGAGCAAUGGUGGGAGGUGGAGGGUGGCGGAGCAGUGGAGGAGGGGAAGUGCUUCCCGCACCUUGUUGAGCUAAGAAUCUCAGAGUGCUCGAAAUUGGGAUCAAUGCCACGGUUGCCUUCCCUCAAAGUUCUGGGUAUGCCGAGCGGCAACAGAAUGUUGUUGGGAUCGAUUGAGAACCUGAGCACAUUAGCCGUCCUCUGUAUUAACACUGAUAGUGUAACUGUAGAUGGCGAGACACGUUCUACCUUUCCUCGUGAUCUACAGUUCCUUGAAGAAUUACGUAUCGUUGGACGCAACGAGAUCGAGCUACAGGGAGAGGACACGAAGGCAUCAUGGAGCGUAGGGCUUCGACGAUUGUAUACCAGUGACUGCGACUGGUUGUUCUCAUCAAGGCAGUCCAUGUUUUGGAAAAGCCUCGUCUCCCUUCACACUCUGACAAUCGAUUCUUGUGAAGAUCUGAGGACGUUCCCUGAGGAGUUUCAAGGCUUGAAGUCCUUGAAAUCAUUAUUUGUUAUCGAUUGUGGCAACCUGAUUGAUUUCUCGCCUGCACUUCCAUCAUCAUCAACAACAAUACCAAUUGGACUCCCACCGGAGCUAGAAGAUCUUUGCAUCUAUAAAUGUGGGGGAUUGAAAAAAAUGCCUAGGUGCCCCACGUCCCUCAAAAGACUCAAUAUUCUUUAUUGCAUUGGUCUAACUUCAUUAACAGAAGACAUUGGUCAGCUCACCUCUCUCGAGAGUUUAUUUCUUGAUGAUUGUCCAAACCUACUGUCCUUGCCACUUGAACUACAACAACUCACGAUGCUUCAUCGGGUGCAUAUCGAGGAUUGCCUCAAGCUUAAAUCAUUACCCCAAGAUUUGUGGCAGUAUCUCUCCGGCCUCCAAUCCUUUACGAUUCUGAAAUGUCCAAUCUUGGAGAAACAAUUAAGAAAAAAAAAAAAGGAGGGAAGGCAUCUAGUGUCACGCAUUCCAGAAUCAACAAUUAUGGAAGUUCGGAGGAAGAAGAGCAUUCAUCAUCAAAAAGAGGACGACAAUUGCAUGAAUACAGCGUGAUGAGCUAGCAAAACUUUCCAUGGACAAGAAAACAAGGCAUCGUGGAACACAGAAGCAAGCAGUGAUGUCAAGAAAAUAUUACAUAUCUCGGACGCGUCAUUUAGACUUGUCUGCCCUCACUGUCAUCUAGCUUUUAGUUUAUGCAGUGCAGAUACAAACCAAAACUUGGAUCCAUGCACAAAGCUCCUAUAUUAUGAUCAGCACCUGCGCCAGAUGCAAAAUAUCAUAUAGUUCUUCAGUUUUUAGGCUGCUGUUGGAAGUUGCUUCGACUUACCUGAAUUCAUGUAACCUAAAGAUCUCGCUAUGCUGCUCACAUCCA